Alligator mississippiensis (American alligator) is the source of this 1806-nucleotide long non-coding RNA. RefSeq lists it as uncharacterized. The transcript has 3 exons. The record is from RefSeq and is a predicted model, not a curated record. NCBI's taxonomy places the organism in Eukaryota, Metazoa, Chordata, Crocodylia, Alligatoridae.
GGAGCCCGCGCCUGGGGGCGGUGCGUACCUGACAGACGGGUGAAGAGCGGGUGUGUGGAAAUACACAGGCAGCGCCUGCCGGUCAUAUGUAACAGUAGUAAUUAUAUCACACGGCUCAGAAGACUGGCAGGCACGAGAGGGGCUGAAUUCCUAGAAAUGAGGUGGAGAGCAAGGUUUCCUUUAAAAGGAUCUCAAACCUACUAUUCUUAACAAUACAGUUCUUUACUAAAGGAGUCCAUUUCCAGAUUUCAUUGCUGGAUGUACAAGUUGAACUUAGGAAAAAAAGGUAUGGUGGUGUAAUUUAGGUUUCGGACUGGGACUGAGGAUCCCAUUCCUAGUUCUACCACAGACUUCCUAUGUGCUCUUCAGCAAGUCACUCAGGGCAUGUCUAUGAUAUUGCAUCAGUGGCAUGCCCGAGCUAGGACAGACUCAAGCCUUUCUCUGCUGAGCUGCAACUACAGGCAUUCUCCAAACCCAGAAGUCUGAUGGUGAGACUGCCCUGAGUGUCCGUCCCUCUGAGACUGUUCUUGAACUCUUGAUUUCUUGUGUACUUGAGAGUGGCCACUGAAGAUAAACUUGAAACAGACUUACCAGCAUGCUAAAAUUGAAGUGUGCCUGCAGACAUGGAUGGGCACAGCCAAUUCCAUCUUUGCUGACCAGGACAUACUAUCACUAUGGUGUGCACAAGCUCCAGAAAUUCUCAACCAGGGUACUGGGGUACUGUGGGGUGCUGCAAGAUCUUUUGAAGGGUGCCAGGAGGAGUGAGUGUAGCAGAAAGCCCCUUUUCCUCUUGCCUGCAGUUGCUCUCCCCUCCUUGGAUAUGUUUUUCCUCUUCUACCUUUUCUUCCUUCCUCUUUCUUUCACUUUAAGAUAAGGAAUUGUGUUUUGAAAUUUGUAUAUGUGCAUUUUGUAUCUCCCCUUGUAUUUUGGUAUUUUUAUCUAUUUGUGUGCCAUGGCAUUACUUUUGUAGCUUAAAUUUUAUACUCCUCACCUUUCAACUUUCAACUAAAUGUGUUUAGUUUCAUAAGUAAGUUAUACAUUGUAACAAUGUUAACAAGGGCAGGAAUCAAACUACCCUUCCCUGUAUCAGGCUGGCCCCUGAAAGAGCGAGUGAAUCAGUGAUUGAAUGUGUAACACGGUAGCAGGCAGUAAUUAACACCUAAGAAAACUGCAGAUCAACCAACGGAAGAACUCAAUAGAAGACAAUGUAACAACCGGGAAAUCUCUAAACCUCACUGAUCAAGGGCUAGAAGCCCUGGCCUGAGUUAAUCAACGCCGGGGACCAACUUUUGGGCUGAAUAUCUCCAAAUCGACCACUCCCUGAGCCCUAUUCAAAAUUCAUCAACAGACUCCCAAACCUGCACGUACAUGCGGACGACCCCUGGGGCUGACAGGUGCCAUCCAGUAGCCACAGAGGGGGGAAGUCCCACGAGGGUCAAUGACCCCUGGAUUGGGCAAACCUGAAAACUGGGGAGUCACCAAAGUCUGCUAAAGAUAGAUAAAAAGCAGUGAAAAGUGACCCUCAGUGGCGCCCUCUUGAUCUCCAACUUGACCAGCACCCGACCUGUCCAGCCAGAAGGACCAGCCGGCGACCCCCUUCUGGAAGAUAACACCACGCUGAAAGAAGCCUCAACGACAGACUCCAGCGCCUGUGGAAUAGGUAUACCUGACUCUUGUAGCUUGCUACUGUGUGUGUGUGUGUGUGUGUGUGUGUGGACCAGCCCCAAGUUUAUGAUUUAUGUAAUGAGUUUAUGAUUUAACUCAUUACAGUGUUUCAAUCCGCCUAAUAAACCAGAAUUUUAAGGA